CCACCUACGGGAGGCAGCAGUAGGGAAUUUUCGUCAAUGGGCGCAAGCCUGAACGAGCAAUGCCGCGUGAAUGAGGAAGGUCUUCGGAUCGUAAAGUUCUGUUGAAGGGGAAAAAGAGCGGAGAGAGGAAAUGGUCUCCGAUUGAUAUUACCCUUCGAGGAAGUCACGGCUAACUACGUGCCAGCAGCCGCGGUAAUACGGAGGAUGCGAGCGUUAUCCGGAUUUAUUGGGUUUAAAGGGUGCGUAGGCGGAUUUUUAAGUCAGCGGUAAAAUGUCCGGGCUCAAGCCGGGCCGGCCGUUGAAAA
This 305-nucleotide ribosomal RNA is filed under the name uncultured bacterium. Its description in RNAcentral is "bacterial SSU rRNA". It matches the Rfam family "Bacterial small subunit ribosomal RNA", at positions 335 to 633 of the family's 1533-position model. The record is from RNAcentral.